GUACUGCUGAGGAGUCCCAUACUAGGAUAAAACGGCCGUCCAGUAU
RNAcentral lists this non-coding RNA (46 nucleotides) under Schistosoma margrebowiei. The record is from RNAcentral. Lineage: Eukaryota; Metazoa; Platyhelminthes; Trematoda; Strigeidida; Schistosomatidae.